Molecule: ribosomal RNA, 473 nt
Filed under: uncultured bacterium
Lineage: Bacteria
Description: bacterial SSU rRNA
Rfam family: Bacterial small subunit ribosomal RNA
Source: RNAcentral
ACGCUGGCGGCACGCUUAACACAUGCAAGUCGAACGGAGUUAAUUGGAGCUUGCUUUGAUUAACUUAGUGGCGGACGGGUGAGUAACACGUGAGCAACCUGCCUUUGAGAGUGGAAUAGCUUCUGGAAACGGAUGGUAAUACCGCAUAACAUUGCCGGACCGCAUGAUCUGGCAAUCAAAGAUUUAUCGCUCAAAGAUGGGCUCGCGUCUGAUUAGAUAGUUGGUGGGGUAACGGCCUACCAAGUCGACGAUCAGUAGCCGGACUGAGAGGUUGAACGGCCACAUUGGGACUGAGACACGGCCCAGACUCCUACGGGAGGCAGCAGUGGGGAAUAUUGCACAAUGGGCGGAAGCCUGAAUGCAGCGAUGCCGCGUGGAGGAAGAAGGUUUUCGGAUUGUAAACUCCUUUUAUCAGGGACGAUAAUGACGGUACCUGAAGAAAAAGCUCCGGCUAACUACGUGCCAGCAGCGGC